Molecule: ribosomal RNA, 281 nt
Filed under: uncultured bacterium
Lineage: Bacteria
Description: partial 16S ribosomal RNA
Rfam family: Bacterial small subunit ribosomal RNA
Source: RNAcentral
GUGCCAGCAGCCGCGGUAAUACAUAGGGGUCAAGCGUUGUCCGGAUUUAUUGGGCGUAAAGAGCUCGUAGGCGGUUCAACAAGUCGGUCGUAAAAGUUUAGGGCUCAACCCUAAAAUGUCGAUCGAUACUGUUGUGACUAGGAUACGGUAGAGGUAAGUGGAAUUCCUAGUGUAGCGGUGAAAUGCGUAGAUAUUAGGAAGAACACCAGAGGCGAAGGCGGCUUACUGGGACAUUUCUGACACUGAGAGACGAAAGCAUGGGGAGCGAAAGGGAUUAGAUA